UACGGAGGGGGCUAGCGUUGUUCGGAAUUACUGGGCGUAAAGCGCACGUAGGCGGUGGCGCAUGUCAGAUGUGAAAGCCCUGGGCUUAACCUAGGAAUUGCAUUUGAAACUGCGUCGCUAGAGGCCGGAAGAGGGUAGUGGAAUUCCCAGUGUAGAGGUGAAAUUCGUAGAUAUUGGGAAGAACACCGGUGGCGAAGGCGGCUACCUGGUCCGGUUCUGACGCUGAGGUGCGAAAGCGUGGGGAGCAAAC
This 250-nucleotide ribosomal RNA is filed under the name uncultured bacterium. RNAcentral's name for it is "partial 16S ribosomal RNA". It matches the Rfam family "Bacterial small subunit ribosomal RNA", at positions 524 to 773 of the family's 1533-position model. The record is from RNAcentral.